GAUGAACGCUGGCGGCGUGCCUAAUACAUGCAAGUCGAGCGAACAGACGAGGAGCUUGCUCCUCUGACGUUAGCGGCGGACGGGUGAGUAACACGUGGAUAACCUACCUAUAAGACUGGGAUAACUUCGGGAAACCGGAGCUAAUACCGGAUAAUAUAUUGAACCGCAUGGUUCAAUAGUGAAAGACGGUUUUGCUGUCACUUAUAGAUGGAUCCGCGCCGCAUUAGCUAGUUGGUAAGGUAACGGCUUACCAAGGCAACGAUGCGUAGCCGACCUGAGAGGGUGAUCGGCCACACUGGAAGUGAGACACGGUCCAGACGCCUACGGGAGGCAGCAGUAGGGAAUCUUCCGCAAUGGGCGAAAGCUUGACGGAGCAACGCCGCGUGAGUGAUGAAGGUCUUCGGAUCGUAAAACUCUGUUAUGAGGGAAGAACAAAUGUGUAAGUAACUAUGCACGUCUUGACGGUACCUAAUCAGAAAGCCACGGCUAACUACGUG
RNAcentral lists this ribosomal RNA (497 nucleotides) under uncultured bacterium. Its description in RNAcentral is "partial 16S ribosomal RNA". It matches the Rfam family "Bacterial small subunit ribosomal RNA", at positions 28 to 507 of the family's 1533-position model. The record is from RNAcentral.